AUGAGGGCACAAGCCAGAUUGGGCCAUCAGCUAGCUUCUAAAAGCCCCUGUUUAAUGCUACAGACAUCAAAAUAUGGCAAGAUGUUCAGAUCCCUAUGGAAGACUUCUGUAUGGCUUUACAACAGAAGAGUAUCAGAAAUACAUAUGGACUUAAGGAGCAUUUCCACUUAUAAGGAAACAGGCUCACACAGGUUCCAUGACAUUCUCAAGGUCCUUCGGCUGCCAAGUUAG
This 231-nucleotide long non-coding RNA is filed under the name Fukomys damarensis (Damara mole-rat). Its description in RNAcentral is "lncRNA (ENSFDAG00000027911.1)". The record is from RNAcentral. Lineage: Eukaryota; Metazoa; Chordata; Mammalia; Rodentia; Bathyergidae.